Herpailurus yagouaroundi (jaguarundi) is the source of this 561-nucleotide long non-coding RNA. RefSeq lists it as uncharacterized. The transcript has 2 exons. The record is from RefSeq and is a predicted model, not a curated record. Lineage: Eukaryota; Metazoa; Chordata; Mammalia; Carnivora; Felidae.
UUUACGCUCACGGUGUAGGAGUCUCCCUAACCAUAGGCACAUAAGACAACCCAGGUGACCAGCCAGACUACCUGUUAAUUCAUUGCAGUAGAGUAGAUAAAACCUGAAGAUAAGGCAACUCCCAGAUUCAUGUUGUGGGAAGAAGACAGUCUGGGGUAUAAAAACUAAUUUUAUCUUUUACCCAGUAUGUCAUUGGCAUCAGGCUCUAGUAGGUAUUAGCAUAAUUAAGUUUCAGAUUACUGGAUAUUGAGUUGCUGACAUUGGCCAUGAUGGAUGGACUUUUUUGCUAUACUAGGUUGAAGUCUUUUCUGCUGAAAGAUUGAAUUGUGUUCUGUCUACUGGCCGGCCUAGGAUUCACUUGGAGGGAUGUAUAAAACUGAAGAGUUGCUACAUUGAAAUAUGCUUAAAAUGAAUAUCCACCUGAAUUCAGUAAAAGAUGAAAGAUGGCUGGGUACUUGGCUGGCUCAAUAGGUAGAACAUGCAACUCUUGAUCUCGGCUCCAGGUUGUGAGUUCGAGCACCACAUUGGGUGUAGAGAGUACUUAAAAAAUAAAAUCUUAAA